UGGCGAGGAAGGGAAGGGGAACGAAAAUUUAUAGAAUUUUAGAACUGUUAGAUUCGUGCCAAGUGGUGAAAUCCGAUGAAAAGAGAGGAGAAAAAGAUUAUUGGCACAAAAAAUGAGGGAGGAAGACUUCCUUCAUCGACAGCAGCGGCGUGCCGCCCAAGGCAGCGGCAGCACACUGCCCGAGGUGGCAGUGCCCGGCUGGUGCACUGUAGGCGCACAAGCCUCCUACCGCUCUCGCAGGGGCUAGCUUAUAUGUGAGUAGGGCUUAGGCGCACUGGGCACCGCGAGCAUAAGCCUACUAGACGCAGGCCCUAGGCACACAGGGCUUAUCUGCGUAGGCCUGCUGCGCAGACGGUGCAUGCACAGUGUGCAGUGUCAGUCCAUGCAGAAAGUGAUGCGCAGACGGCCGCCAGCGCACGCCGGUCCUGACCCCGCACCGUGCAUGUGGACAAAAGGUGCAUGCGGCGUGCAAAUGGGUCGUGCGCAGGCAAACUACUUUCUCGUGGAAUUUUUUCCCCCGAGCAAGUUUUCUCUCGUUUUGCC
RNAcentral lists this long non-coding RNA (543 nucleotides) under Carica papaya (papaya). RNAcentral describes it as "long non-coding RNA (CPAP_LNC011044)". Lineage: Eukaryota; Viridiplantae; Streptophyta; Magnoliopsida; Brassicales; Caricaceae. The record is from RNAcentral.